Molecule: ribosomal RNA, 451 nt
Filed under: uncultured bacterium
Lineage: Bacteria
Description: bacterial SSU rRNA
Rfam family: Bacterial small subunit ribosomal RNA
Source: RNAcentral
AUUGAACGCUGGCGGCAUGCUUUACACAUGCAAGUCGAACGGCAGCACAAACUUCGGUUUGGUGGCGAGUGGCGAACGGGUGAGUAAUGCAUCGGAACGUGUUCUGAAGUGGGGGAUAACGCAUCGAAAGAUGCGCUAAUACCGCAUAAUCUCUGAGGAGAAAAGUGGGGGAUCGAAAGACCUCAUGCUUUUGGAGCGGCCGAUGUCUGAUUAGCUAGUUGGUGGGGUAAUGGCCUACCAAGGCGACGAUCAGUAGUUGGUCUGAGAGGAUGGCCAGCCACACUGGGACUGAGACACGGCCCAGACUCCUACGGGAGGCAGCAGUGGGGAAUUUUGGACAAUGGGCGCAAGCCUGAUCCAGCAAUGCCGCGUGAGUGAAGAAGGCCUUCGGUUGUAAGACUCUUUCUACGUUGUAGAAGAAAAAUUAGUAGACGUAAUAAUACGUAAUUAC